RNAcentral lists this ribosomal RNA (460 nucleotides) under uncultured bacterium. RNAcentral describes it as "partial 16S ribosomal RNA". It matches the Rfam family "Bacterial small subunit ribosomal RNA", at positions 338 to 795 of the family's 1533-position model. The record is from RNAcentral.
CCUACGGGAGGCAGCAGUGAGGAAUAUUGGUCAAUGGUCGCGAGCCUGAACCAGCCAAGUCGCGUGAAGGAUGACUGCACUGCGGGUUGUAAACUUCUUUUAUCAAGGAAUAAAGUGAGGCACGUGUGCCUUUUUGUGUGUACUUUAUGAAUAAGGAUCGGCUAACUCCGUGCCAGCAGCCGCGGUAAUACGGAGGAUCCGAGCGUUAUCCGGAUUUAUUGGGUUUAAAGGGAGCGUAGAUGGGUUGUUAAGUCAGUUGUCAAAGUGUGCGGCUCACCCGUAACAUUGCCAUUGAUACUGGCAGUCUUGAGUACAGGAGAGGUAGGCGGAAUGCGUGGUGUAGCGGUGAAAUGCUUAGAUAUCGCGAAGAACUCCGAUUGCGAAGGCAGCUUACUAAACUGCCACUGACAUUGAGGCUCGAAAGUGUGGGUAUCAAACAGGAUUAGAUACCCUAGUAGUC